This 465-nucleotide ribosomal RNA is filed under the name uncultured bacterium. RNAcentral describes it as "partial 16S ribosomal RNA". It matches the Rfam family "Bacterial small subunit ribosomal RNA", at positions 338 to 795 of the family's 1533-position model. The record is from RNAcentral.
CCUACGGGUGGCAGCAGUGGGGAAUAUUGCGCAAUGGGCGAAAGCCUGACGCAGCGACGCCGCGUGAGGGAUGAAGGUCUUCGGAUCGUAAACCUCUGUCAGCAGGGAAGAACGGUCACUGUGCUAAUCAGCAGUGAAUUGACGGUACCUGCAAAGGAAGCACCGGCUAACUCCGUGCCAGCAGCCGCGGUAAUACGGAGGGUGCGAGCGUUAAUCGGAAUUACUGGGCGGAAAGCGCUCGUCGGCGGUAUGUCAAGUCAAGGGUGAAAUCCCCGCGCUCAACGUGGGAACUGCCGUUGAAACUGGUAAACUGGAGUGUGCGAGAGGAUAGUGGAAUUCGAGGUGUAGGAGUGAAAUCCAUAGAUAUCUGGAGGAACAUCAGGGGCGAAGGCGACUAUCUGGCACAUAACUGACGCUGAGGAGCGAAAGCGUGGGUAGCAAACAGGAUUAGAUACCCCGGUAGUC